AAAAUUAUCAUUUCCAUGUCAAGGCCUCCCCCGCCCUCCGGCCGGUGCUGCUGAGCGUUUCUAAAACUUUCGCCUACUAAUGCACUCCCACCCUGUUCCAACACUCAACCACCGUCAAGCAAAAUGAUCCGCGAACGGCACUCUUACUCUCUCCUCCUUGCUCAUUAAAUAGAAGGCGGCUCCAACCCCGUGAACGAUCACACCCUCUUGCGUCCCCUCACCAGCUUUGUGUCAUGGAUAUUGCCCUUAGAGACCAUGUCUUCUCCUGUCUUCUCCACUUGAUCGAUCUCUUCACUCUCUUUCUAUCCAUCUCAAUAGAAGCCUACAUUUUUGUCCACAAAUGGAACCCCACGUACCACCUCUUCCCCAUGUCAUGCAUGCUUCUCCUCUCAGCCCUCCAACGCCUGGUAUUCACGCCCAGGCAAGUCUACCUCGUAGACUUCUCUUGUACCAAGCCUCCACNN
Molecule: long non-coding RNA, 464 nt
Filed under: Elaeis guineensis (African oil palm)
Lineage: Eukaryota; Viridiplantae; Streptophyta; Magnoliopsida; Arecales; Arecaceae
Description: long non-coding RNA (EGUI_LNC044725)
Source: RNAcentral